UUCUGAGAUGGGAAGAAACCUACAUAUUAUCCAGAAGGAUCCCCAGGCCCUUUCUGAUAUGGAGAGCAGUGAAGUCCAUGCUAAAUCCAGGCACCUCUUGAGUGCAGGUCCUGGAGGAGCUUCCAAAGGGAAGACAACUCUGAAAGGAAUCAGAAGCUCUGUUUGGAUGGACACGUGGGGGUGAUCUGGGACAUAGAAACCUGGAAAAGCUGAUGAAAGCUGAUUUUCCCUUGAAGAAGACAUUUGGAAUGAAGCAAUGUGACCUUUAAUCACCCUCAGACCUCUUUUUGUUCUUGUUCCAGGACAUUCUGUAAAAGGUUUUGCUUCACUUGGAUAGGAACCAAGCCAGCCACAUGGAAAGAAAAAUAACUUG
This 373-nucleotide long non-coding RNA is filed under the name Homo sapiens (human). Its description in RNAcentral is "HSALNT0349227". Lineage: Eukaryota; Metazoa; Chordata; Mammalia; Primates; Hominidae. The record is from RNAcentral.